RNAcentral lists this ribosomal RNA (465 nucleotides) under uncultured Klebsiella sp. Its description in RNAcentral is "bacterial SSU rRNA". It matches the Rfam family "Bacterial small subunit ribosomal RNA", at positions 338 to 795 of the family's 1533-position model. The record is from RNAcentral. Lineage: Bacteria; Pseudomonadati; Pseudomonadota; Gammaproteobacteria; Enterobacterales; Enterobacteriaceae.
CCUACGGGGGGCAGCAGUGGGGAAUAUUGCACAAUGGGCGCAAGCCUGAUGCAGCCAUGCCGCGUGUGUGAAGAAGGCCUUCGGGUUGUAAAGCACUUUCAGCGGGGAGGAAGGCGUUAAGGUUAAUAACCUUGGCGAUUGACGUUACCCGCAGAAGAAGCACCGGCUAACUCCGUGCCAGCAGCCGCGGUAAUACGGAGGGUGCAAGCGUUAAUUGGAAUUACUGGGCGUAAAGCGCACGCAGGCGGUCUGUCAAGUCGGAUGUGAAAUCCCCGAGCUCAACCUAGGAACUGCAUUCGAAACUGGCAGGCUAGAGUCUUGUAGAGGGGGGUAGAAUUCCAGGUGUAGCGGUGAAAUGCGUAGAGAUCUGGAGGAAUACCGGUGGCGAAGGCGGCCCCCUGGACAAAGACUGACGCUCAGGUGCGAAAGCGUGGGGAGCAAACAGGAUUAGAUACCCGUGUAGUC